GUGUUCCUGUUUUUAUGAAGUUUAUUUCUCUUAGUACAGUGAUUCUGAUAGUGGGUUCUGCAGAAAUUAAAAUUAAAAAUUCAUUUUCUCGGUUGCAAUAGCCAUUUUUCAAGGGCUUACUAGUGACAUGUGACAAUGGCUGCUGUAUUGGACAGCACAGAAAGUACUUUUGCACUGCAUUAAUUUAGAAGACUUAAUAUAAUUAACAAUAUUAAUAAUUGAGUAUUGAACACCACAUCCAAGGUGCAGAUCUCUGAAUAAUAUCUGAUCAUAAUGUGGGCAAGUUAGAAAUUAAUGACAAGAAAAGGCAGAAACAUGGGAGACAGGUGAAGAUUUCUUAAACAGAAUAUAAAAAGCACUAGAUACAAAGGAAAAAAGUGAUUAAUUGGAUUUCAUCAAAAGACACUGACUUAGUUUGCUUAGGCUGCCAUAACACAAUACUAUAGACUUGGUGGCUUAAACAAAAUAAAUGUAUUUUCUCACGGUUCUGGAACCUAAUUUAGCCUCAAUUAUCUCCCAAAGUCCCUAUCUCCAAAAUAGUUGGGGUGGGGGAAGUGCCUGUGUUAUAAUGACUAAAAGUAGUAUCAACAAUUUAGAUAAGUAUAGUGUGGCCUUACGGAUGUAAGUCCGUAAGAUCAUGCAGCAUUGAAGAUGUGCAGUUUACUAGAUCUUCUAAUAUUCUCGGGUGUCUCACUGUUUCUUUUUUUUUUUUUUUUGAGAUAGGGUAUCACUUUGUCACCCAGUCUGGAAUGCAGUGGCGUGAUCAGGGCUCCCUGUAGCCUUGACCUCCUGGGCUCAAACCUCUCACCUCAGCCCCCUGAAUAACGGGGAUUACUGAUUUGUGCCACCAAGCCAGGCUAAUUUAUUUUCUUUCUUUCUCUCUUUCUUUCUUUCUUUCUUUCUCUCUCUCUCUCUCUUUCUUUCUUUCUUUCUUUCUUUCCUUUCUUUCCUUCUUUCUUUCUUUUCUCUCUUUCUCUCUCUCUCUCUCUCUCUCUCUCUUCCUUUCUUCCUUUCUUUUUGUAGAGUUUGGGUCUCACUAUAUUGCCCAGGCUGGUCUUGAACUCCUGGCCUCAAAUGAUUCUCCCUCCUUGGCCUCCCAAAGUGUUGAGAUUAUAGUUUUCAGCCACCGCACCCAGCCUCACUGUUUUCUUCAGUUGUUUCUGAACAACUGGAAUCUCAGCUGUCUUUUUCCAUUAAAUCCCGUGUUCGUUCCUCCAUACCAUGCUGCCUCUUGCCCAUUUUUGCAUUUCUCCUUUCUGCUUUCCUGAACAUCCUGAGUCUUACUGGGCUGGCAUUCCCUUGUUGGGACAGGGGAGAGGCUCUAGGCCUUGGAUCCUUGUUCUGAUUCCUUCUCCAAAGAGUUUUCCCUUUUUCUUCCCCUUUCAAAACAACAUAAGUGCAAAAGCUUUGUCAGGAUGUUGGGAAUUAAAAAAGCUUCAGAAACAUUUUGAUUCAUUUAACAACAUUACUCUGAAACUUUUUAGAGUAAGAGUACCAAGUCACUGAAUAAGACGAUCUUGAAAUUAAACGAUAUUUUACAGUUUUAAAAACACCUUCACAGAUCUUUUCUUAUUAGAUUCUCAGCACAACCUUAUGAGUUGGCACUGUCAAAAUUCAGUUCAACAAACAAAAUCCAACUAACAGGAAAACUCACAGCUAACAUCAUACUUAAUGGUUGAAGACUGAAAGCUUUCCCCCUUAAGAUCAGAACAAGACAAGGAUGCUCUUGCCACUCCUAUUCAACACUCUAUUGGUGGUUCUAGGUGGGGCAGUUAAGCAGGAAAAAGAAAAGACAUUUAUAUCAGAAAGAAAUAAAACUAUAUUUACCGAUGACAUGAUCUUACAUGUAGAAAAAUCCUACAGAAUUUACCAAAAAAAAUUGGAACUAAUAAAUGAGUUCAGCAAAGUUGCAGGAUACAAGAUUAUUAUCUAAAAAUCAGUUGCAUUCCUAUAUGCUAGCUAUGGAUAAUCUGAAAAUGAAAUAGAAAAAAUUCCAUUUAUAAUAACAUCAGAAAGAAUAAAAUACUUAUGAAUAAAGUUAACCAAAGAAGUACACUAAAAAGUACACUAAAAAACAGAAAACAUGUUGAAGGAAAUUAGAGAUCUAAAUAAAUUGAAAGACGUCCUGUGUUCAUGGCUUGGAAGACUUAAUAUUGUUAAGAUGACAGUGCUACCCAGAUUUAUCUACAGGUUUAAUGCAAUCACUAUCACAGUUCAACUGCCUUUUUCCCGGAAAUGGACAACCUGAUCUUAUAAUUCAUAUGGAAUUGCAGAGCCAUAUUUGCCACAACAGUCUUGAAAAAAAGAGAACAAAAUU
RNAcentral lists this long non-coding RNA (2317 nucleotides) under Homo sapiens (human). RNAcentral describes it as "non-protein coding lnc-LRRC37A2-1:1". The record is from RNAcentral. Lineage: Eukaryota; Metazoa; Chordata; Mammalia; Primates; Hominidae.